UUCUGCAAACUCCACCAGUUUCUUUUUCUACAUUGAUAUUGGCUGUGUAUUUGACAUUAUGUUUGGUUUAAUGAAGGUUUUGGUAAUUCUCAUCCUGCAUUGUGUGUGCGGUUUCUGUCUUGACCCACAACAUGAACAUGUCAUGAUUUCCAGGGGAAUGUUUACAAAUAUUUAUAUGUUAAUUUGAAUAAACAUUUAUGUAGCCUAUUCCUUGGAGUGGCAACAAAGCUCAUUUUUAGGAUGGCAGCUGCCACCCCGUCACCCUUGUGGACAUGCCACUGAGUUGAGCUGCUGCGCGUGCAGAAGGAAUCACUCGACCUUCAGUUUUAUGGUCAAUUUUCAGAUGUUGUAGUGUUUCAAGUCCAGGUAAGCAUGAAGAGUCAGAUUCCAGAAGUUACAAUUAAAAGAUUUAUUAGCAUCAUAGGCCAGCAACAAACACAGCCUGCAUGCCACAUGGUUACUCAUAUUGAAUUGUUCUUCUAUACCUUUUAUAGGUACCAACUAUAGUGCUUUCUUCUGGUGAAUCAGUAAUACAAGAACACAACAGAUGUGAGGCGAAAAUAAGCAGUGAUCUCCAAAAGCUCCCAGUCUUCAUUGUGCGUGUGUGUGGUACACCCUCCUCCUCCAGCAUCUCUACCCCUCUUCAACGGAUCCAUUCUUCACUGCCUCCUACUCUAUCACUUAACCCAACUCCCUGCGACAACCUACCACUGGAUCCAGUGCAUGCUCUGCUACCAGCCUCCACUUUUUCCAUGGUCAGGAGAACCCUCGGACGAACCCUCCAUCGACUACUGGUUCCACCAACUCCAAUGGGCCCUACGCAGGUGGAGGAUGACAGUCGACCAUCGCCGAUCCGAGGCCCCUGAAUAGCAGCCCUUUCAGAAGGUCUGGCUGUCCACCCGGGACAUCCGCCUUGCCCUGCCGCAAGUGGAGUCCCAGAUUCAUUGGCCCAUUCAUCAUCCUAGAGCAGUUAAAUCCGGUCACUUUCAUACUUCAACUACCUCAAGAGUACCGGAUUCACCCCACCUUCCAUGUGUCCCUCCUUAAGCCUCACCAUCCCUCUGUUUCUCCCUCCACAGAACCUGGCAAAGCCGUCAGCGUCUGGUCUUGUUCACAACAAGGUCUUUCAUGUAUGCUAACUCUAAGGACUUACUCUCUCUAUUUAGCUCUCUCCAGCGAUCUCCAGAAGCUCUCCAUCUUCAUCCUGUGUGUUGCACACCCUCCUCCUCCAUCGUCUCUAACCCUCUUCAACGGAUCCAUUCUUCACUGCCUCCUACUCCAUCACUUUACCCAGCACUACCUGCUCCUCUGCUUGUGCCUAAAUAAACUGUCUCUGUUA
Carassius gibelio (silver crucian carp) is the source of this 1339-nucleotide long non-coding RNA. RefSeq lists it as uncharacterized. The transcript is spliced from 2 exons. The record is from RefSeq and is a predicted model, not a curated record. Lineage: Eukaryota; Metazoa; Chordata; Actinopteri; Cypriniformes; Cyprinidae.